This 398-nucleotide ribosomal RNA is filed under the name uncultured bacterium. Its description in RNAcentral is "bacterial SSU rRNA". It matches the Rfam family "Bacterial small subunit ribosomal RNA", at positions 29 to 426 of the family's 1533-position model. The record is from RNAcentral.
AUUGAACGCUGGCGGAAUGCUUUACACAUGCAAGUCGAACGGCAGCACGGGAGCUUGCUCCUGGUGGCGAGUGGCGAACGGGUGAGUAACAUAUCGGAACGUACCCCGUCGUGGGGGAUAACUCUCCGAAAGGAGUGCUAAUACCGCAUACGACCUGAGGGUGAAAGCGGGGACCGUGCAAGGGCCUCGCGCGAUGGGAGCGGCCGAUAUCGGAUUAGCUAGUUGGUGAGGUAAAGGCUCACCAAGGCGACGAUCGGUAGCUGGUCUGAGAGGAUGAUCAGCCACACUGGGACUGAGACACGGCCCAGACUCCUACGGGAGGCAGCAGUGGGGGAAUUUUGGACAAUGGGCGAAAGCCUGAUCCAGCCAUGCCGCGUGCGGGAAGAAGGCCUGGUUGU